RNAcentral lists this long non-coding RNA (1604 nucleotides) under Homo sapiens (human). RNAcentral's name for it is "HSALNT0141203". Lineage: Eukaryota; Metazoa; Chordata; Mammalia; Primates; Hominidae. The record is from RNAcentral.
AUAGCUUACUGCAGCCUUGACCUCCUAGGCUCAAGCGAUUCUCCUGCCUCAGCUCCUGAGUAGCUGGAACUACAGGUGUGUGCCACCAUGCCUGGCUUGAUGUGCUAAAUCAUACAAGCCCUCCAGCCAGGUAUUGUGGCUCUGCUCCAGGAAGUCAUGCAAUGCCAGGCUCUGUCCACUUCAUUGCUCUGCCAGUUCUAGGGGGCUGACCCCAUCCAGACGGUCCAAGAUGACUCCUCAUCACGACUCAUGCUGUGUUCAGAUGCAGCCUGAUACGGACACUUAAACGAUAUCUCCAGGACCUGGUCCUCUCUCAGCGCGGCUCCCUCAUCCUCUGAAUGAGAAUCUCCUCCGCACCCUCAGACAGGCUCUUCCACCAUGAUUGCAAGAAGAAAGUGAACGUGAUGGCUGGAUCAUGAGCAACAACCCUGGAUAAUGAAGUGGAAGCCACAUGUUGAACAUCUUGGAGCAACCAGAGAAGACAUCUUGCUAGCUCUGGGCAGCAUACCACCAGACUCCUUUUAUUUUAUUUUAUUUUUUGAGAUGGAGUUUCGCUCUUGUUGUUCAGGCUGGAGUGCAAUGGCACAAUCUCGGCUCACCGCAACCUCUGCCUCCUGGGUUCAAGUGAUUCUCCUGCCUCAGCCUCCCGAGUAGCUGGGAUUACAGGCAUGCGCCACCACACCCAGCUAAUUUUGUAUUUUUAGUAGAGAUGGGGUUUCUCCAUGUUGGCCAGGCUGGUCUCAAACUCCCAACCUCAGGUGAUCUGCCCGCCUUGGCCUCCCAAAGUGCUGGGCUGGGUGUCAGCCCUUGCUCUGUGGUGCCCAAUAGGGUUAAUGACAUUUGUGUGGCUGUGCGUCUCCUCUCCUCCGAAUACACUGUGCUCUCUGAGGCAGGAGCCCUGAAGGAAGUUCUCUGAAUCACCUAGCACAUCUAGGGCAGAAGCCCCCUCAGUCCUUGUCUUUUGCUUACUCUUCUGGGUCUUUUUCUGUCAUCCAGAUCUUGCUUUUGCUGUGGAGGAAGAAGACAAGAAACUCUAAAGGAAUUGAAAAGAUGAGAUACGAUCUGAACCUGAAGAAGUGGGCAAUUUGUAAUUGUCAGAGAAACAGAUGUGCACUUCCAGCCCGUGCUGCUGCUGCUAAGGUGCACCCACUCACAAACCCACUUCUCUGAGCACAUGACUCUGCUAGCUCCAUGGGGCUCUGCAGGGAAGGAGUGAGGGAGGGGGAAGAGGCAGAGAGCUGGGUUGUCUGAAAGCUUUCUCCAGGUCUUGCCUUUCUCUUCCCUGGAAGCCAAUGCCCGUGAGGUCAUAUCCAUCACAUUACCUCAGAGAUUGUCAGGAUGGACCCAGUUCCAUCACUCUGAGGCUGAGGGUCUGCCAAACCCCAUUGAGGCUGUACCUGGGAAACCAGACCCUGCCUGUCUCUUUAGGAUCUGGGCGAGUCCAUCCUCCCUCCCUUCUCCCCCAUGAGGCACCAGUGUCCUGAUUGUAUCACAGCUUCAAAAUUCCCUGACUCAUGCCAUCCUCGAUUUUAGAAAAGAGCUUAUUCAAGUGGUGUAGGCUGCACACUCCACCCCCUCCCACUCAAUUCAGCGAUUGAAUUACA